GUAGUCUGCAACCCGACUACACGAAGCCGGAAUCGCUAGUAAUCGCGAAUCAGAAUGUCGCGGUGAAUACGUUCCCGGGUCUUGUACACACCGCCCGUCACACCAUGGGAGUUGGAAAUGCCCGAAGUCAGUGACCUAACCCGUAAGGGAGGGAGCUGCCGAAGGCAGGUCUGAUAACUGGGGUGAAGUCGUAACAAGGUACC
This 203-nucleotide ribosomal RNA is filed under the name uncultured bacterium. RNAcentral's name for it is "partial 16S ribosomal RNA". It matches the Rfam family "Bacterial small subunit ribosomal RNA", at positions 1300 to 1500 of the family's 1533-position model. The record is from RNAcentral.